RNAcentral lists this long non-coding RNA (990 nucleotides) under Anser cygnoides (Swan goose). Its description in RNAcentral is "lncRNA (ENSACDG00005000713.1)". Lineage: Eukaryota; Metazoa; Chordata; Aves; Anseriformes; Anatidae. The record is from RNAcentral.
AUGGAGGCAGGAGGGCCUCCCUGCAGCUUGCUCUUCCCAUGCCAGCCCUGCUCCAUCUACUGGCAAGAAGAACGCGGAGCCUCCGAAAUUCACCCGCUGGGGUGCAGCUGCUCUUGCGGCUUCCCCAGACCAGGUUCCCCCCAUGGCCUCCUUUCAUCUGCCAGCGAGGGCCAGGGGUGGGAAGAGCAGAGGGCGAACAUCGCUUUCUCCCUGGUCACAGGACGAGGAACUGCCCUCCCACGAGCUUCCCUCUGCUUUGGUUUCCAGCGUGUCAUCAAGGUCACAAAGGAGCACAUUAAGUAUUGUGCACACGCUGCACGUUUGCCAUUUCGUCUGCCGACUGAGAAGCUGAUUUCACUGCUUACUUGUGGUCAGUCAAACCCCAGUGAAAAUGCCCUGGAAAUUCCUUCCCAGAGCAGAAUGCUACCAGGGAUGGGGUGGGACGGCAGCACCAGCUCCUGUCCCAGCAAGUGCCCAGGAAACCAAGAUGCAGCAGCAAAAGCAUCCUGUUCUUCCUCCUGUGGUCCUUACAGAUGGCAUCUCUUCCCGCUCUGUGCUAGAGGUGAUCGGCUUGUUCUGGAAGUACAAGAUGAGAUGCAGCGCCUUGCCAUGCAGCUAAACCCUUCCCUGGGCCAGGUGGACUCCAGCGGUAGUUUGGUGGCUUGGCUGGAGCGAAGACGUCCUGCGGCCACCCACCAGCCCUGCGUGGUCUCAGCCCCACAAGCCGUGGAGCAGUGUGGGUCCUCUGCACUUCUGGCAGGACUCCUUGUGUGCCUCCCCAUCACGUCCUGGGCUCUGGGAAGUCUUCUUGAUGUGGGAACAUUGCUAUACAACUGCACAGAGCCAACUGUGUGGUGCUGUGUGGAAGCUAAGAGGUCUUCCUGGGUACCACCUGUCUGUGUGGUACAACCUCCUGCACCGCUCCUGUAUUAUUAUUUUCCAUUAUCUAGGAAAACAACCUUUUCUUCUCCUCCUCUUUACCUCAGAUAA